UUGGGUUCUAGUGGCCGGCCAACUGUGUAAAGUUUACCUUUGCAAUCAAAAUUUCUGUAUAUAGAAUGUGUAUGUUUUAGAGGUGAAGGUUGCGGUGGUUUGAGUGUGUAACCACCAAAAAACUUAAAACAAAUUAGUUUUUAUAAUUGAGUUUUAUGUAUAAUUAGAUUGUAUUCCAUCACAACCUCAACAAAAAAAAAAAAAAACUAAAAUAAACACCAAUUAUUGUGAUAUUUGUAAAGUUCCUCUAGGAUUCAAGACAAUUGACUUCAAGAUUUCAUAGUGGGAAGUGUAAUCGAAUCAGUCUGAAUCUCUAUAUCCUGUCCAUCAUAGCUUAUAUCUGCAAUUCUUCAUACUAAUUACUGCUGUCUUAUCGUGAAUUUUAUUAACAUCCAUCCUUCCAACGCAGAAGCCUGCACCAAGGAAGAUGGAGGUAUCUCACUGGUUCAACUUUGCAGCACUAUUCUUCUUCUUUGUGCUUGCAUCAAAGCUUGUUAUAUACAAACUUGGAAAUCCCAAAAACCUCCCACCUAGUCCACCUUCCCGUCCUAUCAUAGGGCAUCUCCAUUUAUUAAAGCAACCAAUUCAUAGAACUCUGUGCGAGCUUUCUAAGAAGUAUGGUGACAUACUGUUUCUCCGAUUUGGGGCUCGUAAAGUCCUUGUAAUCUCUUCACCAUCAGCCGUUGAAGAGUGCUUUACUAGAAAAGAUGUAAUAUUUGCUAACCGCCCUCGUACACUAGCUGGAAAACAUCUCAAUUACAACUCGACAACCAUGGGUUUCUCUUCUUAUGGUGAGCAUUGGCGCAACCUCAGGCGCUUAACAACCAUUGAGCUCUUCUCUGCAAGUCGUGUUGCCUCGUUCUCUGAUAUUAGAAAAGAGGAAGUUCAGCUAUUGCUAAACCAAUUGUUUCGGGAUUCCAGCAAACAACAGGCUAAGGUGGGGCUUACAGCAAGUUUUAUGGAGCUUACAUUCAAUGUUAUGAUGAGAAUGAUUGCAGGAAAACGUUAUUAUGGAAAAGAAGUGGUGGAUGAAGAAGCGGGACAGUUUCAGAAUAUUAUAAAAGAAAUGGAGGCGCUGCGAGGGAGUUCUAAUAUGAAUGAUUUCUUUCCAGUACUGCAAUGGAUAGAUUUCCAAGGUUUGGAGAAGAGAAUGAUGGGGUUGAAGAAGAAGAUGGACAAAUUCUUGCAGGAUCUCAUCGAGGAGCACCAGAAAGUGAGGAGUCAGUCAUCUCAGUCCACCAAGAUAACCGGUUUGGGCAACCAAAAGAGAAACAUGACACUUAUUGAUGUUAUGUUAUCGUUGAAAGAGACAGAACCUGAAUUCUAUACUGAUCAAACCAUAAAAGGUGUAAUCAUGUCAACACUAACCGCAGGAAGCCAAACUUCAGCAGCUACCUUAGAGUGGGCAAUGUCGCUUCUCCUUAACAACCCGGAAACAAUGCGAAAGGCUUCUGAAGAGGUAGAUGCUAUCGUUGGAACAGAGCACAUAUUGGAUGAAGUAGAUGUAACAAAGCUCAGUUACCUCCAAAACAUAAUUAACGAGACAUUUAGGCUCUUUCCACCUGCGCCGCUUCUUUUACCACAUGAAUCUUCCGAGGACUGCACUAUUAGUGGAUUUCAUGUGCCCCGAGGCACAAUGUUACUGGUCAAUACUUGGAGCAUUCAUAGAGAUACCAAGCUGUGGGUGGAGCCAACAAAAUUCAUGCCGGAGAGAUUUGAAGGUGGAGAAGGUGAAGGGUAUAAACUGCUUCCAUUUGGUGCUGGAAGGCGGGCUUGUCCUGGGGCUGGUCUAGCCAAGCGAAUCAUAGGCCUGACACUAGGUGUCUUGAUUCAGUGCUUCGAGUGGGAUAGAGUUAGCAAAGAGGAGAUUAAUCUGACAGAAGGAACAGGGCUUACCAUUCCCAAAGCUGAACCACUGGAGGCGUUAUGCAGACCUCGCCAAUCCAUGGUCAACCUCCUCUCUUCCAUGUGAGUUUGAGUGGGAUAGAGUUAGCAAAGAGGAGAUUAACUUGACAGAGGGAACAGGGCUUCCCAUGCCCAAAGCUGAACCACUGGAGGCGUUAUGCAGACCUCGCCAAUCCAUGGUCAACCUCCUCUCUUCUAUGUGAAGCAUAUGGAUGAUUUUCCUCAAAUGCAGCUCUAUAUAGUUUAGUGCAUGCGUGAGUGAACACUUUCAAAACUCCACUUGCUGCAACUUGUAAGGGGUUCAAAUUUAGCGAUGCACAGAGCUAUGUUUACGGGGUGACCAGGUCCCUGCUUAUGAGAUUGCACAUUAAUUUUGAAGAUUUUGCCAGUAACACCAUAGCCGAAGGCUUAAUUCCGCCAUGUUAUAAGACCUCUCUACACCGUGCAAUUGAAUGUUUUUUGAACAGUUCUAUAUAGCCGAAGGUUUUUUGGUGACGAUUCCUUCGAUUUGGGAGGGUUGCUGCACCUUGACCUCAAGAUAUUUCAGUGCAAUCUUUCGUAGGUUUGAAAUUGACACCAUUUGGAGUGGGGAGGAGGUCAUGUCCCGGGGCUGGCCUUGCUAAUAGGGUGGUGGGAUUAGCAUUGGCUUCCUUGAUUCAAUGCUUUGAGUGGGAGAGAAUUCGUGAGGAGGAAGUAGACAUGUCUGAGGGGUCAGGAAUCACCAUGCUUAAAGCUAAGCCUUUGAAAGCAAUGUUCAAAGCUCGCAUGUCCAUGAUUGAUGUCCUUGCGUAGCUGGGAAUUCUGUCUGAUCACCUUUGCAAAAUAAUCAUUACAGAUCCAAAUUAGUUCCUCUACA
RNA transcript from Populus trichocarpa (black cottonwood), 2761 nucleotides. It is a transcript of the gene named cytochrome P450 81Q32, with no coding region annotated. The record is from RefSeq and is a predicted model, not a curated record. The transcript has 3 exons. Lineage: Eukaryota; Viridiplantae; Streptophyta; Magnoliopsida; Malpighiales; Salicaceae.